GGAGACGUGGCCGAGUGGUUAUGGCGCUGUGUUUAGGUAACAUCACAGUUCCCGCAGUACGAAAGUGCAUGGGUUCGAAUCCCAUCGUCUUCA
RNAcentral lists this transfer RNA (93 nucleotides) under Diaporthe ampelina. It matches the Rfam family "tRNA". From Rfam's summary of the family: Transfer RNA (tRNA) molecules are approximately 80 nucleotides in length. Their secondary structure includes four short double-helical elements and three loops (D, anti-codon, and T loops). Further hydrogen bonds mediate the characteristic L-shaped molecular structure. tRNAs have two regions of fundamental functional importance: the anti-codon, which is responsible for specific mRNA codon recognition, and the 3' end, to which the tRNAs corresponding amino acid is attached (by aminoacyl-tRNA synthetases). tRNAs cope with the degeneracy of the genetic code in two manners: having more than one tRNA (with a specific anti-codon) for a particular amino acid; and 'wobble' base-pairing, i.e. permitting non-standard base-pairing at the 3rd anti-codon position. Lineage: Eukaryota; Fungi; Ascomycota; Sordariomycetes; Diaporthales; Diaporthaceae. The record is from Rfam by way of RNAcentral.